GACGAACGCUGGCGGCGUGCCUAAUACAUGCAAGUAGAACGCUGAAGGAGGAGCUUGCUUCUCUGGAUGAGUUGCGAACGGGUGAGUAACGCGUAGGUAACCUGCCUGGUAGCGGGGGAUAACUAUUGGAAACGAUAGCUAAUACCGCAUAAUAGUAGAUGUUGCAUGACAUUUGCUUAAAAGGUGCAAUUGCAUCACUACCAGAUGGACCUGCGUUGUAUUAGCUAGUUGGUGAGGUAACGGCUCACCAAGGCAACGAUACAUAGCCGACCUGAGAGGGUGAUCGGCCACACUGGGACUGAGACACGGCCCAGACUCCUACGGGAGGCAGCAGUAGGGAAUCUUCGGCAAUGGACGGAAGUCUGACCGAGCAACGCCGCGUGAGUGAAGAAGGUUUUCGGAUCGUAAAGCUCUGUUGUAAGAGAAGAACGAGGGUGAGAGUGGAAAGUUCACACUGUGACGGUAUCUGACCAGAAAGGGACGGCUAACUACGUG
Molecule: ribosomal RNA, 495 nt
Filed under: uncultured bacterium
Lineage: Bacteria
Description: partial 16S ribosomal RNA
Rfam family: Bacterial small subunit ribosomal RNA
Source: RNAcentral